AGAUCAGGCAUACAAUGAGUGUGCUGUUGAGUUCCAUCCACAGAACCUGAAGAGGCUUUGGAGAAGCUGAAGGGAAAAAAGUUGUAACUCUGCCGGAAGUGGAGCUCUGCUUUGUCCCUGUGACCUCUGUCAUCUGCUCUACUGCUCUCCAAGCAACACCAUAAUGAAUGAACAAAACACUUAAUUGUGAAUCACUUUGGAAUUCAUGCUAUUUAUCUUCAUUUUUAUCACCUCCUGGGGGAGGUGAACACACAGCUGGGAGGACUGCUGUGUGGAACUGGAGCUGUCCACAUAUUUGGGUCUGAGAGCCAGCAGACUAGAUCCAAGUUUGGGGUCCUUCUUCAACUCACGUGUUGACUCAUUCACCAUUUGCCAUUUCCUCCCAGCAAGACAAGAACUGACUUCCUUCAUGGAAAAAGACCUGCUAAGAAAUGGUGAGACCACAAAGAAAAGACGAAGAGGUCUGAGUGAAUCAUCCUGCAAACUGGAUUCAGACUGUAGGUGCUCAGUCUGAUCAAGAAUAGGAGAAAACCAAGGAGUGAAAACUGUGCUCAGCACCACGGAUGUGAUGGCUCAG
This 577-nucleotide long non-coding RNA is filed under the name Gallus gallus (chicken). Its description in RNAcentral is "lncRNA (ENSGALG00010004820.1)". Lineage: Eukaryota; Metazoa; Chordata; Aves; Galliformes; Phasianidae. The record is from RNAcentral.